UACGUAGGGUGCGAGCAUUAAUCGGAAUUACUGGGCGUAAAGCGUGCGCAGGCGGUGAUGUAAGACAGAUGUGAAAUCCCCGGGCUCAACCUGGGAACUGCAUUUGUGACUGCAUCGCUGGAGUGCGGCAGAGGGGGAUGGAAUUCCGCGUGUAGCAGUGAAAUGCGUAGAUAUGCGGAGGAACACCGAUGGCGAAGGCAAUCCCCUGGGCCUGCACUGACGCUCAUGCACGAAAGCGUGGGGGCAAACAGG
RNAcentral lists this ribosomal RNA (252 nucleotides) under uncultured bacterium. RNAcentral describes it as "partial 16S ribosomal RNA". It matches the Rfam family "Bacterial small subunit ribosomal RNA", at positions 524 to 776 of the family's 1533-position model. The record is from RNAcentral.